RNAcentral lists this ribosomal RNA (1191 nucleotides) under Triticum aestivum (bread wheat). RNAcentral's name for it is "partial small subunit ribosomal RNA". Lineage: Eukaryota; Viridiplantae; Streptophyta; Magnoliopsida; Poales; Poaceae. The record is from RNAcentral.
AUGACAGAAGUUACAAGAAGCAGUUACCCUGAUGACAAUGCCACCAAUCUCGAGAGCGUGGAGUUGAAGGUCCAAGUAGCCGAGCACCUCCAGCCUAGGGGCGUGGACAAUCUUGACGGGCCUCCGGUCGAAAAUGCUUUGGAAGAGCAGGCGCUCCAGGCAGGGGGCAUCCUCCACAAUGAUUUCAUCGAAGCUGCAUCCCCAUUCCAUCACGGCGCGGAGGCUGCUGGACUUGAUGCGGAGGAUCGAACGGCUAAUGUACGCGAUGGCGACGGAGAGGAUUUUCAGCUUGGGGCAGUGCGCGAGCAAGGCAUCGACUUCUCUGUCCUCCAUGAUGGAGUGGAAAAGGCCGAGCUCUUCGAGGUUGGGGAAGGCUGGCCGGAGGGUGGUGGUGUCUGGGAAGUGCCAGCGCCAGACGCCUAUGUAGAGGCGGGUGAGGGAGGCACAGUCGAGGAUGCUGUCGGGGAGCGGCAUGUCGAGCGGCCAGGGGCGGUUGAAGAGGAUGAGGUCCUGGAUCUUCUUGGCGGCGAGGCUGGCGAUCAGGCGCUCGAGUGCGUGCUCCUGCCGGUGAAAGGAGGUGCGGAUGAAGCGCACGGCACGGACGGGGCCGGGGUGAGCGGCCACGCAGCGCGAGACGGCACGCACGGCGUGGAAAUCGCGGGGCCCGUCGGCGGCCCUGAGGUGGGCGUCGUCGACGAGGAGCGGGGUCGCCGCCCACACGCAGCGCCAGCGGGUGGAGAGUACCAUGGUGCGCGCGGCUUCCUUGGUGGGGAGGCGGGAGAUGAUGUUGCAGAGCAGGUCGUCCGGGAGGCGGCUGAUGUGGUCCUGGCCGUCGCCGCCCUGCACGGCGGGCCGGUCGGCGGCGGCGGGGGCGGCGUCCUCGGAGUCGGAGGAGGUGAGGGAGAAGUGGUCGUCGUCGGAGUCGGAGGACUCGUCGGCGUCGGCGUCGGGCGCGGGGACGAAGGGCGCGGGGAGGAGGGAGAUGAUUUGGGAGACGAUGCCGUCCAUGCGGUCCUGCGCGGACGGGCCCUCCAGUGCCAUGUUGUUGAAGUACGCCUCGAUUUGGGCGUAGGUGACAAAUUCUUCUUCUCCUCCCCCUGCGGCGGCGUCCAUGGCGGCGGAGGCCGGCUAGGGUUUGUCGGCGGGCGGGAGGAAGGGAGAGACCUCACCUCCGCGAGAGGAGCAGGCUGA